This is a long non-coding RNA of Bradysia coprophila, 560 nucleotides long. RefSeq lists it as uncharacterized. The record is from RefSeq and is a predicted model, not a curated record. Lineage: Eukaryota; Metazoa; Arthropoda; Insecta; Diptera; Sciaridae.
CUUCUGCGGCGGCUCUUCGGUUUGCUUUUUUCACAAUUCCUCUCGGUAACAUAACCUGCAAUUUUCAGAAAUAUUUGUUUAAAACACAGCCUAAUCAAUCCACACCAUAAUUAUUUAAGAAUCACCGUAAAUGUGAUUUUCAAUUACUUUUUUUCUUGUAAAUGUCGAUUUGCUACCGCAAAUUUAUCAUGAACGAGGCUUACGACUACCACAACCUAUCUGAGGCUUUAGUUAAAGAAAUCAUGCAGCGUCCGUUGAAGAAUGCACAAAGGAAGGAAAUUCUUAAAAUAAUAAGCAUCGUUCGCGUUGGACGAGAUGAAGAUGAUGGUUCCACAACGGAUAGCUCAGGUCGUGGCUCACCUUCGGAAGAAGAGGAUGUCAUGCAGGACGGUAAAGCGAAUCUCUGCGAAAUCGUAAAAGGUGGUCUAAAACUAAUUCGCACCAAAACUAUGGUCGAACAAACGUUGUCAGUCCGGCAAAUCACAAGAGAACUUAAUCUAACAAAAAACUUUUUGAAAAGAUUUGCAAUUUAAUGUAAUAAAAACUGUCCAAGCAAUUGA